This 22-nucleotide non-coding RNA is filed under the name Arabidopsis thaliana (thale cress). The record is from RNAcentral. Lineage: Eukaryota; Viridiplantae; Streptophyta; Magnoliopsida; Brassicales; Brassicaceae.
CCCGGGCUUUUGAUACGCUUGU